UACAGGGGGUGCAAACGUUGCUCGGAAUCAUUGGGCGUAAAGCGCACGUAGGCGGUCCGUUAUGUCGGAUGUGAAAGCCCUUGGCUCAACUAAGGAAGUGCAUCCGAAACUGGCAGGCUGGAGUACUAAAGAGGGUCGCGGAAUUCCCGGUGUAGAGGUGAAAUUCGUAGAUAUCGGGAGGAACACCGGUGGCGAAGGCGGCGACCUGGGUAGAUACUGACGCUGAGGUGCGAAAGCGUGGGGAGCAAACAGG
This 253-nucleotide ribosomal RNA is filed under the name uncultured bacterium. Its description in RNAcentral is "partial 16S ribosomal RNA". It matches the Rfam family "Bacterial small subunit ribosomal RNA", at positions 524 to 776 of the family's 1533-position model. The record is from RNAcentral.